CCCCUCUCAGGACCAUACCUGGAGAGUUUCCAGUACUCCAUCAGUCUUGACUACAGGAGGGAGAGUCAAGCAGAGGAAUGCCCAUUCCAUUCCUAGCUUGGGCAGUGGCUAGUGAGUGGGAGGCAAGCUGCUACAAAU
This is a small nucleolar RNA of Tachyglossus aculeatus (Australian echidna), 138 nucleotides long. The record is from RefSeq and is a predicted model, not a curated record. Lineage: Eukaryota; Metazoa; Chordata; Mammalia; Monotremata; Tachyglossidae.